This 23-nucleotide small nuclear RNA is filed under the name Arabidopsis thaliana (thale cress). Its description in RNAcentral is "snRNA_07433". The record is from RNAcentral. Lineage: Eukaryota; Viridiplantae; Streptophyta; Magnoliopsida; Brassicales; Brassicaceae.
AGCGGUCUAAUUUAUCUGCGGUU